RNAcentral lists this ribosomal RNA (604 nucleotides) under uncultured Actinomycetes bacterium. Its description in RNAcentral is "bacterial SSU rRNA". It matches the Rfam family "Bacterial small subunit ribosomal RNA", at positions 252 to 866 of the family's 1533-position model. Lineage: Bacteria; Bacillati; Actinomycetota; Actinomycetes. The record is from RNAcentral.
GUGAGGUAAUGGCUCACCAAGGCGACGACGGGUAGCCGGCCUGAGAGGGCGACCGGCCACACUGGGACUGAGACACGGCCCAGACUCCUACGGGAGGCAGCAGUGGGGAAUAUUGCACAAUGGGCGAAAGCCUGAUGCAGCGACGCCGCGUGAGGGAUGACGGCCUUCGGGUUGUAAACCUCUUUCAGCAGGGAAGAAGCGAAAGUGACGGUACCUGCAGAAGAAGCGCCGGCUAACUACGUGCCAGCAGCCGCGGUAAUACGUAGGGCGCAAGCGUUGUCCGGAAUUAUUGGGCGUAAAGAGCUCGUAGGCGGCUUGUCACGUCGGUUGUGAAAGCCCGGGGCUUAACCCCGGGUCCGCAGUCGAUACGGGCAGGCUAGAGUUCGGUAGGGGAGAUCGGAAUUCCUGGUGUAGCGGUGAAAUGCGCAGAUAUCAGGAGGAACACCGGUGGCGAAGGCGGAUCUCUGGGCCGAUACUGACGCUGAGGAGCGAAAGCGUGGGGAGCGAACAGGAUUAGAUACCCUGGUAGUCCACGCCGUAAACGGUGGGCACUAGGUGUGGGCAACAUUCCGCGUUGUCCGGGCCGCAGCUAACGCAUUAAGUG